AUUGAACGCUGGCGGCAUGCCUAACACAUGCAAGUCGAACGAGUGGCGGACGGGUGAGUAAUGUCUGGGAAACUGCCUGAUAGAGGGGGAUAACUACUGGAAACGUUAGCUAAUACCGCAUACUAUUAGAUCUGCCCAGAUGGGAUUAGCUUGUUGGUGGGGUAACGGCUCACCAAGGCGACGAUCCCUAGCUGGUCUGAGAGGAUGACCAGCCACACUGGAACUGGGAAACGGUCCAGACUCCUACGGGAGGCAGCAGUGGGGAAUAUUGCACAAUGGGCGCAAGCCUGAUGCAGCCAUGCCGCGUGUAUGAAGAAGGCCUUCGGGUUGUAAAGUACUUUCAGCAGGGAGGCGUUACCCGCAGAAGAAGCACCGGCUAACUCCGUGCCAGCAGCCGCGGUAAUUC
This 406-nucleotide ribosomal RNA is filed under the name uncultured bacterium. RNAcentral describes it as "partial 16S ribosomal RNA". It matches the Rfam family "Bacterial small subunit ribosomal RNA", at positions 30 to 526 of the family's 1533-position model. The record is from RNAcentral.